AAUGGGUCAGCGACUUAUAUUCUGUAGCAAGGUUAACCGAAUAGGGGAGCCGAAGGGAAACCGAGUCUUAACUGGGCGUUAAGUUGCAGGGUAUAGACCCGAAACCCGGUGAUCUAGCCAUGGGCAGGUUGAAGGUUGGGUAACACUAACUGGAGGACCGAACCGACUAAUGUUGAAAAAUUAGCGGAUGACUUGUGGCUGGGGGUGAAAGGCCAAUCAAACCGGGAGAUAGCUGGUUCUCCCCGAAAGCUAUUUAGGUAGCGCCUCGUGAAUUCAUCUCCGGGGGUAGAGCACUGUUUCGGCAAGGGGGUCAUCCCGACUUACCAACCCGAUGCAAACUGCGAAUACCGGAGAAUGUUAUCACGGGAGACACACGGCGGGUGCUAACGUCCGUCGUGAAGAGGGAAACAACCCAGACCGCCAGCUAAGGUCCCAAAGUCAUGGUUAAGUGGGAAACGAUGUGGGAAGGCCCAGACAGCCAGGAUGUUGGCUUAGAAGCAGCCAUCAUUUAAAGAAAGCGUAAUAGCUCACUGGUCGAGUCGGCCUGCGCGGAAGAUGUAACGGGGCUAAACCAUGCACCGAAGCUGCGGCAGCGACGCUUAUGCGUUGUUGGGUAGGGGAGCGUUCUGUAAGCCUGUGAAGGUGUACUGUGAGG
Molecule: ribosomal RNA, 655 nt
Filed under: Escherichia coli
Lineage: Bacteria; Pseudomonadati; Pseudomonadota; Gammaproteobacteria; Enterobacterales; Enterobacteriaceae
Description: partial 23S ribosomal RNA
Rfam family: Bacterial large subunit ribosomal RNA
Source: RNAcentral